UAGAGUUUGAUCCUGGCUCAGAACGAACGCUGGCGGCGUGCCUAACACAUGCAAGUCGAACGAGAAAGGGGCUUCGGCCCUGAGUAAAGUGGCGCACGGGUGAGUAACACGUAGGUAACCUGCCUCUGAGAUUGGGAUAACUCGUCGAAAGAUGGGCUAAUACCAAAUAAGACCACGAAUUCUUUGGGAUCUGAGGUCAAAGGUAGCCUCUAUUAUAAGCUAUCACUUAGAGAUGGACCUGCGCACCAUUAGCUAGUUGGUAGGGUAACGGCCUACCAAGGCAAAGAUGGUUAGCUGGUCUGAGAGGAUGAUCAGCCACACUGGAACUGAGACACGGUCCAGACUCCUACGGGAGGCAGCAGUGGGGAAUAUUGCGCAAUGGGCGAAAGCCUGACGCANCACCCNGCGUGAGUGAUGAAGGCCUUUCGGUNGAAAAGCUCUGUCGGAAGGACNAAUUGCUUUGGGGNNAANCACCCCNAAAGCCAUGUACCUCANAGGAANCAGGGCUUAAUCUGCGCCAGCACCCGGGGAAUUGCCCGCCCUNCCCGAUGGGCGCGGGCUGCGGGGUAGACGGGGGGAGCGGCGGGGUAGCGGGGAGCUGAGACGGGACGAGAUGAGGUAAGAUGGCCACGGGCGGCAAGGCGGGUCGGGGGAGCAGUGGGCCGCCGGACGGAGAGGCCAAUAACAGCUGUAAUGAUAGAAGCGGUGGAGGGGUACCAACGCGACAGGGCGGCGGGCGAAUCCCCGGGGCGCGGGGAACGGUACGGGUGGUGAGGAUAGGAAGCGGACGGGACGGUCGGUGGACAGAGCAUUGACAGAAGAGG
RNAcentral lists this ribosomal RNA (824 nucleotides) under uncultured delta proteobacterium. Its description in RNAcentral is "bacterial SSU rRNA". The stretch from base 3 to 554 matches the Rfam family "Bacterial small subunit ribosomal RNA", at positions 9 to 546 of the family's 1533-position model. The record is from RNAcentral. Lineage: Bacteria; Deltaproteobacteria.